UUUAAAAUCUAAAAUUCCCGGUAAAUACCUCAGACUCAAGGUUACAAUCCCGCUAUGCUUCAAGCUUAAUACUGAAGCUAGCUACAAGCCACGCCGAUUGACGGCCGUCAUUACGAUGCCAGUGCUAGAGUCGCGGUUACUCCGUGUGCACGUGGUGGGUCCAGUCAACAUUUCAGUACUGUGUUAAAACAUCAUGCCGCCUCCUAAAAAAAAUUAUCUCGGGAAGAGAUAUUUUUUACAAAACAAAAGAGAAGCCGAAAAGGCUCAAUUAGCAAAGAUUAAAAGCGACCCUAUCAAAUUAGCUGAGCUUAAAGA
Zerene cesonia (dogface butterfly) is the source of this 315-nucleotide long non-coding RNA. RefSeq lists it as uncharacterized. NCBI's taxonomy places the organism in Eukaryota, Metazoa, Arthropoda, Insecta, Lepidoptera, Pieridae. The transcript is spliced from 2 exons. The record is from RefSeq and is a predicted model, not a curated record.